AGCAGCCGCGGUAAUUCCAGCUCCAAUAGCGUAUAUUAAAGUUGUUGCAGUUAAAAAGCUCGUAGUUGAAUUUCGGGAUUGACGUGAUGGUCGUGCCUUAAGGGGUAUGAACUGUCGCAGUUGAUUUCUCACCUUCUGGAGAAGCUUGAUGUCCUUAAUUGGGUGUCAUGUGGAACCAGGACCUUUACCUUGAAAAAAUUAGAGUGUUUAAAGCAGGCAUUUUGCUCGAAUACAUUAGCAUGGAAUAAUAGAAUAGGACGGCAUGGUUCUAUUUUGUUGGUUUCUAGGAUCACCGUAAUGAUUAAUAGGGAUAGUUGGGGGCAUUAGUAUUCAAUUGUCAGAGGUGAAAUUCUUGGAUUUAUUGAAGACUAACUACUGCGAAAGCAUUUGCCAAGGAUGUUUUCAUUAAUCAAGAACGAAAGUUAGGGGAUCGAAGACGAUCAGAUACCGUCGUAGUCUUAACCAUAAACUAUGCCGACUAGGAAUCAGACGAUGUUAAUUUUUAAUGACUU
This 512-nucleotide ribosomal RNA is filed under the name uncultured Entrophospora. RNAcentral's name for it is "SSU rRNA". It matches the Rfam family "Eukaryotic small subunit ribosomal RNA", at positions 569 to 1077 of the family's 1831-position model. Lineage: Eukaryota; Fungi; Glomeromycota; Glomeromycetes; Entrophosporales; Entrophosporaceae. The record is from RNAcentral.